Molecule: ribosomal RNA, 380 nt
Filed under: uncultured eukaryote
Lineage: Eukaryota
Description: partial 18S ribosomal RNA
Rfam family: Eukaryotic small subunit ribosomal RNA
Source: RNAcentral
CAAUAGCGUAUAUUAAAGCUGUUGCGGUUAAAAAGCUCGUAGUUGGAUUUCUGUCAAGUACAACUGGUCCGCCCUCCGGGUGAGCACAUAGUUUGGUCUUGGCAUCUUGCUGGAAAUUGUUGCUGCACUUGGCUGUGUGGCGCAGUGUCCAGCACUUUCACUUUGAGGAAAUUGGAGUGUUUCAAGCAGGCAAUGCCUUUGAACACAGUAGCAUGGAAUAAUUAGAUUGGGCUUUUGCUCCAAUUUGUCGGUUUCUGGAGCUGAGGUGAGAAUUAAUGGGGAUUGUUGGGGGCAUCCGAAUUUAGCCGUCAGAGGUGAAAUUCUUAGAUCAGCUGAAGACGGACGACUGCGAAAGCGUUUGCCCAGGAUGUUUUCAUUGA